Molecule: ribosomal RNA, 120 nt
Filed under: Peromyscus maniculatus bairdii (prairie deer mouse)
Lineage: Eukaryota; Metazoa; Chordata; Mammalia; Rodentia; Cricetidae
Source: RNAcentral
GUCCACAGCCGUACCACCCUGAAUGUGUCCAAUCUUGUCUGAUCUCAGAGGCUAAGCAUGGCUGGGCCUGGUUAGUACUUGGAUAGAAGUUAUUGUUAUGACUAAUCACGUAUUUGUGCC